Molecule: ribosomal RNA, 434 nt
Filed under: uncultured soil bacterium
Lineage: Bacteria
Description: bacterial SSU rRNA
Rfam family: Bacterial small subunit ribosomal RNA
Source: RNAcentral
AGAUUGAACGCUGGCGGCAGGCCUAACACAUGCAAGUCGAGCGGUAGAGAGGUGCUUGCACCUCUUGAGAGCGGCGGACGGGUGAGUAAUGCCUAGGAAUCUGCCUAGUGGUGGGGGAUAACGGUUCGGAAACGGACGCUAAUACCGCAUACGUCCUACGGGAGAAAGCGGGGGACCUUCGGGCCUCGCGCCAUUAGAUGAGCCUAGGUCGGAUUAGCUAGUUGUGAGGUAAUGGCUCACCAAGGCGACGAUCCGUAACUGGUCUGAGAGGAUGAUCAGUCACACUGGAACUGAGACACGGUCCAGACCUCCGUACGGGAGGCAGCAGGUGGGGAAAUAGUUGGACAAGUGGGACGAAAGCCUAGACUACCAGCCAAUCGCCGCGUGUGUAGAAGAAGGUCUUCGGAUUGUAAAGCUAACGUUUAAGGUGGGAA